GUGCUCACUUCAGCAGCACAUAUACAAAGAUUGGAAUGAAACAGAGAAGAUUAACAGGGCCCCUGCCUGAGCAUGUUGUGCAAAUUCAUGAGGCCUUCCAUAUCUUU
This is a small nuclear RNA of Peromyscus eremicus (cactus mouse), 107 nucleotides long. Lineage: Eukaryota; Metazoa; Chordata; Mammalia; Rodentia; Cricetidae. The record is from RefSeq and is a predicted model, not a curated record.